CGGAGGCGGAGCAGAGUCACGACUCACGAUUUGGGUACUGGGAUUUUGGGUUAGGGCACUAGGGCAGAGAGUGAGAGAUGAGAGAUCAGAUAGGCAGAUAGUGAGAGAUCUCUAAGAUAACAAUCGAGAGAUGGGAGAUAUGAGGCCUGAGAGUAUCGAUAGUGUGAGAUGAAAGAUGAGAGAUGAGAGAUUACUAUAUUUGUUUUAUGUUUUAAGGCUUUAAUUAUUUUUUUGAGAUUACUGUGUUUGUUUUUGUGUUUUAACUUUUAAGGCUUUAUUUUUUUUAUUUCUUAUUCGGCUAACUAAAUUUUAAAAAACAAAUUUGAAUCCGAAA
Molecule: long non-coding RNA, 334 nt
Filed under: Panax ginseng (ginseng)
Lineage: Eukaryota; Viridiplantae; Streptophyta; Magnoliopsida; Apiales; Araliaceae
Description: long non-coding RNA (PGIN_LNC000286)
Source: RNAcentral